RNAcentral lists this ribosomal RNA (463 nucleotides) under uncultured bacterium. RNAcentral describes it as "partial 16S ribosomal RNA". It matches the Rfam family "Bacterial small subunit ribosomal RNA", at positions 28 to 507 of the family's 1533-position model. The record is from RNAcentral.
GAUGAACGCUGGCGGCGUGCUUAACACAUGCAAGUCGAACGGAAAGGCCCAAGCUUGCUUGGGUACUCGAGUGGCGAACGGGUGAGUAACACGUGGGUGAUCUGCCCUGCACUUCGGGAUAAGCCUGGGAAACUGGGUCUAAUACCGGAUAGGACCACUUCGUAGUUGUUGUGGUGGAAAGUUUUUUCGGUGUGGGAUGAGCUCGCGGCCUAUCAGCUUGUUGGUGGGGUAAUGGCCUACCGAGGCGUCGUCGAGUAGCCGGCCUGAGAGGGUGUACGGCCACAUUGCGACGGUGAGACGGAGCAGACUACUGCGGGCAGCAGGAGUGAGGAAUAUAGAACGAGGGGCGGAAGGCUGAUGCAGCGACGCGGCGGGGAGGAUGACGGUCGUGGGGUUGAAAGCUCCUUGCGCCAACGACGAAUUUAUGACGGUAUUUGGAGAAGAAGCACCGGCUAACUACGUG